CCUUCUCUUCCCUGCCGGGCGGAGGUUCUCCCGCCGCUGUUAGAAAGGCCGCCCUGAUCCCACGCGGGCUGCCCGCCUGCCGCUACGUCACUCUCUGGGCUCCCUGUUCGCUCCACAGGGAGCCUCAGUCCACAGCCUGGCCUGGCUUUUCUUACCUGCUCAUACCUGUUUUCACUUUCGAAAAUGUUGUUUAUGGAAAAUGUGUAUGCGUGCGUAGUGAACUAAAUCAAGGUAUGCCAAACAGAUAAGCACAGCACCCUUUGGACAAGCCUUGUCCUGAGCCCAGGGUCGUGUGCUCUUGGAGACAGACAUGCUCGUCUGUGCGGUUUUGUUAGGCAGGAAAUCCUACCCUGUUUUUAUUUUCUGGGAUCGUUAACAAAAUUGAACAUCUUCUCCUGUUGCCCGUUUGUAGGCCUUUUUCUUGUUCAACUUCUUUGUUUUCCUUUUAACUGCAAAAAGCCCCAACAUGCUAUUUUGGGAAAACCAAGUAAUUCUGCAGUCCUGAGUAUUCUAAGAUCCAGACGUGCCUUUCCAUCUGGGAGGAGAAGGUGCCUGUUCGGCAUGUAAACACAGAAUUCAAAGCCUCCAUAGAGAGACUGGGGUUUGCAAGAUUCGAAGCCAAUUGUGAUCGUCACGGACUGACUCAUCACACCUCUGCACACAAGCUGGAAUUUUGUCCCAGGCCACAGGCUCGGGAAAGGCUGUUGUGACUGCCGGGGAGCUCUCUGCCGGGGUUUCCACACCUCCCCCCAGACAAGGCUUGUGUCUCUAAAUCCCUUUUGGGGUGUUGCCACUGAGCCAACUCCAUCCGUCGCUGAGCCUGACUUUCACCCACAAGCGCGUGAAUCAACUGAUACAAAUCUGAAAAGCCCGGCGAGUGGGUCUGAGUGACCCCCUUAAAUUCAUCAGUGCAUCUGUGGGGUCUUCCGGUGCUUUUGGAAAAUCCUGAACCACAGCUCGUGCUUCUGGCCACAGCGUGUGGCUCGGCUCAGUCCAGUUCAAGAGGCUGAGAGACUUCAGGGCUGAUGCUUGAAAGAAGCUUUUCAGGGAGAUAAAGUGGAGUUGAACACGUGAGGGUUGAUAUGCACAGAACAGAGGCUUUUGCUUUCUUUGUCCUUUUCAUGGCGGCAGGAGGGGUACCACUCACUGUAAGAGCAUGUAUCUGCCCCUGCAGAGUUCCAGUCCGUUAUGUAAAGUAGUCUUUCUGCCAACCACCCCAGCCUGAAGCUCGACACAGUAACUAGACUAGCUAUUGUACAACUAUCUUUAAGACAACUUUGUCAGCUGAUUUAUUUUAAAAAGGUUAUUUUUAAAUCCCGUUCUUUUGACUAAAGAUUGUAUGUUUCCAAGAAUCCUUUGAAAAACUUCCGUCGUGAUGCUUACAGUUUUUUUCUAUAAUAGAUCGUUUUGGUGAUUAAGUUUGUCCCCUCUGACAGAAAACACAUCAGUGAAUUCCUAAGGUUCAGGGGGGAGUUUUUUGCAUAGGGUUUUAGGUACGGGGGCUACAGAGGAAAUCAGUCCUGCAUAUUCACUGGAAGGACUGAUGCUGAAGCUGAAACUCCAAUACUUUGGCCACCUGAUGGGAAGAACUGACUCACUGGAAAAGACCCUGAUGCUGGGAAAGAUUGAGGGCAGGAGGAGAAGGGGAUGACAGAGGAUGAGAGGGUUGGAUGGCAUCACCAACUCGAUGGGCAUGAGUUUGAGUAAGCUCUGGGAGUUGGUGAUGGACAGGGAGGCCUGACGUGGUGUGGUCCAUGGAGUCACAAAGAGUCAGACACAACUGAGCGACUGAACUGAACUGAACUACAGAGCUGUUCUACACUGAGAUUAUGGUGAUGAUUGCGUUUGUCAAACUUCACGGAGACUUUUAGGGAAUGUAAAUUCUACUUCAAUAAACGUGACCUUAAAACUUUAAAGAAAACA
This 1923-nucleotide long non-coding RNA is filed under the name Bos indicus x Bos taurus (hybrid cattle). Its description in RNAcentral is "lncRNA (ENSBIXG00000008944.1)". Lineage: Eukaryota; Metazoa; Chordata; Mammalia; Artiodactyla; Bovidae. The record is from RNAcentral.